This is a non-coding RNA of Paramuricea clavata, 280 nucleotides long. The record is from the annotation of a GenBank genome assembly. Lineage: Eukaryota; Metazoa; Cnidaria; Anthozoa; Malacalcyonacea; Plexauridae.
CUUUUUGUAAAAUAUUAUAACAGACAUGGGCGUACGGGAAGGAAAAAAUUAGGGGGGCGGAAAGAAAUUUGCCCGACUUUUUCGGGCAACUUUCCAAAAUUGUUGUCGACGGGAGGCAGGAGUGAUUAAAAUUGACAGAAUUUCCCACAAAAUUGACAGAAUUUGUCCCAUUUAUUUUUAUAAUAAGCCAAUAUUGCCCGACUGUGAAGCGAAUAUUGCCCGACUGGCUUUGUUUGCCCAACAAACGGGGGGGUGGUGGCUGCCGCCCCCUCCGCCCCCC